CGUAUGGAGCAAGCGUUAUCCGGAUUUACUGGGUGUAAAGGGAGUGUAGGUGGCCAUGCAAGUCAGAAGUGAAAUCCGGGCUCAACCCCGGAACUGCUUUGAAACUGUAAGGCUAGAGUGCAGGAGGGUGAGUGGAAUUCCUAGUGUAGCGGUGAAAUGCGUAGAUAUUAGGAGGAACACCAGUGGCGAAGGCGGCUCACUGGACUGUAACUGACACUGAGGCUCGAAAGCGUGGGAGCAAACAGGAUU
RNAcentral lists this ribosomal RNA (249 nucleotides) under uncultured bacterium. RNAcentral's name for it is "partial 16S ribosomal RNA". It matches the Rfam family "Bacterial small subunit ribosomal RNA", at positions 526 to 779 of the family's 1533-position model. The record is from RNAcentral.